GACGAACGCUGGCGGCGUGCUUAACACAUGCAAGUCGAACGGAAAGGCCUUUUCGGAGGUACUCGAGUGGCGAACGGGUGAGUAACACGUGGGUGAUCUGCCCUGCACUCUGGGAUAAGCCUGGGAAACUGGGUCUAAUACCGGAUAGGACCGCACUUCAGUGUGUGUGGUGGAAAGUUUUUUCGGUGUAGGAUGAGCCCGCGGCCUAUCAGCUUGUUGGUGGGGUAAUGGCCUACCAAGGCGGCGACGGGUAGCCGGACUGAGAGGUUGGUCGGCCACAUUGGGACUGAGAUACGGCCCAGACGCCGACGGGAGGCAGCAGUGGGGAAUAUUGCACAAUGGGCGCAAGCCUGAUGCAGCGACGCCGCGUGGGGGAUGACGGCCUUCGGGUUGUAAACUCCUUUCGCCAGGGACGAAGCGUUUUGUGACGGUACCUGGAGAAGAAGCACCGGCUAACUACGUG
RNAcentral lists this ribosomal RNA (463 nucleotides) under uncultured bacterium. RNAcentral's name for it is "partial 16S ribosomal RNA". It matches the Rfam family "Bacterial small subunit ribosomal RNA", at positions 28 to 507 of the family's 1533-position model. The record is from RNAcentral.